AGCUUGGUGGUGUAACGGUAACAUACCCACUGUCUAUUUUGGUUCUUUGCGCGAAUAGACGUUUCGGCGGGAGAUCCUUGUUCGAUUCAAGGCUGGGCCG
Mycena latifolia is the source of this 100-nucleotide non-coding RNA. The record is from the annotation of a GenBank genome assembly. Lineage: Eukaryota; Fungi; Basidiomycota; Agaricomycetes; Agaricales; Mycenaceae.